Molecule: transfer RNA, 75 nt
Filed under: Cytophagales bacterium
Lineage: Bacteria; Pseudomonadati; Bacteroidota; Cytophagia; Cytophagales
Description: tRNA-Val
Rfam family: tRNA
About the family: Transfer RNA (tRNA) molecules are approximately 80 nucleotides in length.
Source: RNAcentral
GGGAUGUUAGCUCAGUUGGUUUAGAGCGCCACGUUGACAGCGUGGAGGUCACAGGUUCGAAUCUUGUACAUCCCA